RNAcentral lists this transfer RNA (62 nucleotides) under Amblyomma ovale. RNAcentral describes it as "tRNA-Glu". Lineage: Eukaryota; Metazoa; Arthropoda; Arachnida; Ixodida; Ixodidae. The record is from RNAcentral.
AUUUAAAUAGUAUAAUUUAAUACGUAACGUUUUCAUUGUUAUAAUCCGAUUAGGUUUAAAUC